RNAcentral lists this transfer RNA (78 nucleotides) under Candidatus Hydrogenedentota bacterium. RNAcentral's name for it is "tRNA-Pro". It matches the Rfam family "tRNA". From Rfam's summary of the family: Transfer RNA (tRNA) molecules are approximately 80 nucleotides in length. Their secondary structure includes four short double-helical elements and three loops (D, anti-codon, and T loops). Lineage: Bacteria; Pseudomonadati; Candidatus Hydrogenedentota. RNAcentral also lists the same sequence under 1 other name. The record is from RNAcentral.
CGGGGCGUGGCGCAGUCCGGUUAGCGCGCCUGCUUUGGGAGCAGGAAGUCGCCGGUUCGAAUCCGGCCGCCCCGACCA